This 279-nucleotide unclassified non-coding RNA is filed under the name plant metagenome. Its description in RNAcentral is "partial contains small subunit ribosomal RNA, internal transcribed spacer 1, and 5.8S ribosomal RNA". The record is from RNAcentral.
UUUCCGUAGGUGAACCUGCGGAAGGAUCAUUAUUGAAUAAUCGAGGAUGGAGGGUUGUCGCUCACCAGAAACGUCGUGCACGCGCGAGUGCCUCUACACCCAUCCAACUCACCCCAACUCGAACCACCGCGUGGGUCCCCCUGUGUCUUGUUUGGUGUGGGGCUUCCGUUUAUACUCAAACUUUGUAUAACGUGUCGAUUGUAUUUUGUGUCUUUGCGAACACCCGAUCAAUACAACUUUAAACAACGGAACUCUUGGCUCCCGAACCGAUGUAGAACG